This 253-nucleotide ribosomal RNA is filed under the name uncultured bacterium. RNAcentral's name for it is "partial 16S ribosomal RNA". It matches the Rfam family "Bacterial small subunit ribosomal RNA", at positions 524 to 776 of the family's 1533-position model. The record is from RNAcentral.
UACGUAGGGGGCUAGCGUUGUCCGGAUUUAUUGGGCGUAAAGAGUGUGUAGGCGGCCAGGUAGGUCUGCUGUGAAAACUCGAGGCUCAACCUCGAGACGUCGGCGGAAACCAUCUGGCUAGAGUCCGGAAGAGGAGAGUGGAAUUCCUGGUGUAGCGGUGAAAUGCGCAGAUAUCAGGAAGAACACCCGUGGCGAAAGCGGCUCUCUGGAACGGUACUGACGCUGAGACGCGAAAGCGUGGGGAGCGAACAGG